Molecule: ribosomal RNA, 497 nt
Filed under: uncultured bacterium
Lineage: Bacteria
Description: partial 16S ribosomal RNA
Rfam family: Bacterial small subunit ribosomal RNA
Source: RNAcentral
GAUGAACGCUGGCGGCGUGCCUAAUACAUGCAAGUCGAGCGAACAGACGAGGAGCUUGCUCCUCUGACGUUAGCGGCGGACGGGUGAGUAACACGUGGAUAACCUACCUAUAAGACUGGGAUAACUUCGGGAAACCGGAGCUAAUACCGGAUAAUUUAUUGAACCGCAUGGUUCAAUAGUGAAAGACGGUUUUGCUGUCACUUAUAGAUUGAUCCGCGCCGCAUUAGCUAGUUGGUAAGGUAACGGCUUACCAAGGCAACGAUGCGUAGCCGACCUGAGAGGGUGAUCGGCCACACUGGAACUGAGACACGGUCCAGACUCCUACGGGAGGCAGCAGUAGGGAAUCUUCCGCAAAGGGCGAAAGCUUGACGGAGCAACGCCGCGUGAGUGAUGAAGGUCUUCGGAUCGUAAAACUCUGUUAUUAGGGAAGAACAAAUGUGUAAGUAACUAUGCACGUCUUGACGGUACCUAAUCAGAAAGCCACGGCUAACUACGUG